This 123-nucleotide ribosomal RNA is filed under the name Erinaceus europaeus (western European hedgehog). Lineage: Eukaryota; Metazoa; Chordata; Mammalia; Eulipotyphla; Erinaceidae. The record is from RNAcentral.
GUCUAUGGCCAUACCACCCUGAACACGCCCUAUCUCGUCUGAUCUCGGAAGCUAAGCAGGGUCGGGCCUGGUUAGUACUUGGUUGGGAGAUUUUAUUUUAUUUUAUCUGUGUAUCUUUAUUUU